Molecule: ribosomal RNA, 95 nt
Filed under: Heyndrickxia oleronia
Lineage: Bacteria; Bacillati; Bacillota; Bacilli; Caryophanales; Bacillaceae
Description: Bacillus oleronius partial 16S ribosomal RNA
Rfam family: Bacterial small subunit ribosomal RNA
Source: RNAcentral
UUUUUGGAGAGUUUGAUCCUGGCUCAGGACGAACGCUGGCGGCGUGCCUAAUACAUGCAAGUCGAGCGAAUCUGAUGGGAGCUUGCUCCCUGAUG